Magnolia sinica is the source of this 1262-nucleotide long non-coding RNA. RefSeq lists it as uncharacterized. The record is from RefSeq and is a predicted model, not a curated record. NCBI's taxonomy places the organism in Eukaryota, Viridiplantae, Streptophyta, Magnoliopsida, Magnoliales, Magnoliaceae. The transcript has 2 exons.
UGCCAACGUUUGAGCUGCUCUAUCCUUCAUAUAUCAAUCCACAGAUGCACAUUGGCCUAGGGCCUUAUGUGGACCCUCCAUUCUAUGACGUAUUUGGAAAGUGACCACCAGCUGGGCUGUUUCAGGAUAACACAGCUGAGCAGGAUGCUUCAUCUGUACUUGGUCUCAGAAUUAUUUGAUACAGUGAUCAAUGAUAAUCAUGGCAAACCAGUGCUGGAUUUGGAAUCAACCCCAGUGGUGGUUUCCAGGCUCAUGGUGCUAUUAGUCUAUUUGUUUCAAAAUAUCUUUUUAAACAGUAGUUUCUCUUCUUCUCUUCUCCAUUUCCUUCUGCUCUUGAUUUGCAGCCAUGUCUUUCCUAAUGGUAAGAUUCUUCCGAUCCUUAAUUUGCUAGAUAUUUCCUUGUUGAGAAAUUGUGAUUCUUUUAUAUCUGACUUCUUUUAGUAUCUGUAUUAGUGUUUUCUUUUCUUUUCUUUUCUUUUUCCAGAAUUUCAUGUUUCUGCAGUUGAAAUAUAAUUCGUGUUUAUUUUUUUGAUGUCCUUCAUUUAUAAGGUAAAUCAAAUACACUUCUUGUGGAAGCUGGUCCUAUGCAACUCCUUCCAUAGUAAGUUUAUUCUAUAUGAGUGUUGCACAUGGGGUCCACAAGUCUUUAGUAUAUUGUCCACAAGUUUCUAAGCAUCUGUUGCUUUCUCAUCUUGUUCUCAAUAAUUAGUUUGUAGAGAAUUUUGAAGUUGCUCAUUACAUUCUGAUAGAUAGUUUAUCCUAUAGGGGCCCACUCGAGUGGUACUGUUACCACCAGGUGAUGACGUGGUUAUUUCAAACACACGGCUUUAUGACAGUUUUUUCAAGCAAAGAUGCUCCUUGGUGUUGCUGGCCAAAUGGGCUGUUGGCACUUAGCAUUUUUCUCCAACAGUCACUUACAGAACAACCAAUUAACCGGAUCGGUUAUCUUCCUGGCUAAUCUCCCACUGUCUGAAUUGUAUGUCUCAAACUCAAGUGUGUUCCUAGCAAGUCUUUAAACAUGUUUUAUUUUUGUGCUGCACACUGAAGCAUUUGCUGAUCAUUGAUUUGCACUGUGCAGCAGGCUUAUUUGUGUAAUGUCAGCUGUUUCAUUUACUUUGGGUUGGCAUCUGUAGAGUCUAUAUAGGGAUUUGGGCUGCACAAUUAAGCACAGGCCAAUUAUCAAUCAAGUACAGCAGGCAUAUCUGUAAUGUCAUCUGUUGUGGUUGCUUUGAGUGGGCUCCAUGGUGCAAUCCAAUUAGCAU